GUGGGUUGGGGGUGUGGG
This 18-nucleotide microRNA is filed under the name Macrophomina phaseolina MS6. Its description in RNAcentral is "miR-1346". Lineage: Eukaryota; Fungi; Ascomycota; Dothideomycetes; Botryosphaeriales; Botryosphaeriaceae. The record is from RNAcentral.